AUGGUUCUCUAGUCACUUGACCCAGGAAACCCCACAAAAUCAUGCAAAUCAAGAGGUUCAAAUCUUCAUGUUCACUAAGAACACUCGUGAAACUGGCCAGGCCAUCAAGGGUAUGCAUAUAUGAAAAGCCACCAACCCUAAAGAUGUCACUUUACAGAAGCAGUGUGUUCCAUUCCGAGGUUACAGUGGUGGACUUGGUAGGUGUGCCCCUGCCAAGUAGUGGGGCUGGACACAGGGUUGGUGGCCCCCAAAACAGUGCUGAACUUUUGCUGCACAUGCUUAAAAAUACAGAGAGGAAUGCUGAGCUUAACAGCUUAGAUGUAGAUUCUCUGGUCACUGAGUAUAUCCAAGUGAACAAAGCACCUAAGAUGCACCACAGGACUUACUAGAGCUCAUGGUCAGAUUAAGCCAUACAUGAGCUCUUUGAGAUGAUUCUCACUGAAAAGGAACAAAUCCAAAACCAGAAAAGGAGGCUUCCUGGAAGCAAAAGAUAUCCCAGAAGAAAGUGAAGAAACAAAAACUUAUGGCAUGGGAA
This 535-nucleotide long non-coding RNA is filed under the name Homo sapiens (human). RNAcentral describes it as "non-protein coding lnc-PWP1-2:1". The record is from RNAcentral. Lineage: Eukaryota; Metazoa; Chordata; Mammalia; Primates; Hominidae.